Molecule: ribosomal RNA, 406 nt
Filed under: Strongyloides stercoralis
Lineage: Eukaryota; Metazoa; Nematoda; Chromadorea; Rhabditida; Strongyloididae
Description: SSU rRNA
Rfam family: Eukaryotic small subunit ribosomal RNA
Source: RNAcentral
UUAUAACAGCUAUAGACUACACGGUAAAUAUUUUAGUUGGAUAACUGAGGUAAUUCUUGAGCUAAUACACGCUAUUUAUACCACAUUAGUGGUGCGUUUAUUUGAUUAAACCAUUUUUAUAUUGGUUGACUCAAAAUAUCCUCGCUGAUUUUGUUACUAAAACAUACCGUAUGUGUAUCUGGUUUAUCAACUUUCGAUGGUAGGGUAUUGGCCUACCAUGGUUGUGACGGAUAACGGAGAAUUAGGGUUCGACUCCGGAGAGGGAGCCUGAGAAACGGCUACCACAUCCAAGGAAGGCAGCAGGCGCGAAAAUUACCCAAUUUUAGUUAAAAGAGGUAGUGACGAAAAAUGACAACCAAAUAUUAUUAUUAAUAUUUGGAUUGAAAAUCUUCAAGUUUAAAUAACU